CGGCCGCCGAGCGCGCUCUUUCCGCCCCCUUCUCGCGCGUGAGCGCGCCCUAUCGGCUCCUGGCGCGUCAACAUUCCGCGGGCCAGGCCUUGGGGCGCGUCUGAGGAGGGGGAUGUCUGUGGCCUCUCCGCCCACACUUCCUCCACCCACCGCCCACAGCGCCCCAGAAGGACCUAUUACUCGUUUGGCUUCUGAAGGCCGAAGCCAGGCUCUGGCGGGGAUAGAACCCUGAAGGGCCUGCGCCAGCUCCAACUUAGGGCCCUUAUCUUUUGCUGCCUCUUACGUAUUGUAGGCAGUGCCUGAUGGCUGAGAAGAAUCGCAGAGGACUAGAAAAGGUUUGAGUCUGAAAUUAUCUGGCACAGAGGAUUAAAGCUCAGAAAUAAGUGAUUGCGAAACAGUUCAACUUCCCUGUUAAUGACAACAACAACAGCAACACGCUUAUUAAUUCCUAGCUGGAGCAUCAAGCUUAUGAAGAUUUCCAAGACUUUAUUGUUGACCCUUGUUGAAGAGAACUCUACUUGGCUUCUUUCCUGGCUUUCCUAAAUUGUUCACAUACAAGAUAAACUACCGUCAUUCAGACUUACAGAAGUGAGAAGACAAGCUGAACCAAAUGUAAAAUGGUAGCAAUUUACAGGUAAUUCUGUAUCUUAAUUUCUCCCACAUUUUUAGGGUAAAAAAUUGUGAUAUAUGGGGGUUAUUUGGAUCAAGUGUUUUCUAAGUAGAACUUUGUCAUAAUUAAUUUUAUGUAUUUAUAGUA
Molecule: long non-coding RNA, 757 nt
Filed under: Homo sapiens (human)
Lineage: Eukaryota; Metazoa; Chordata; Mammalia; Primates; Hominidae
Description: non-protein coding MALINC1:72
Source: RNAcentral